UUCUGUAUGUGAGUGUAUCUUUGUAUUAUUUUCUUAAGUGAAAGUUAACAGAUAUGUAUGUGAGCUCACAUCGUUCUUACGCUGGCUAGUGCACAGUAGUGUGUAUGGUCCGUUUGCACUAUCUCUUAUGCAAGGUUAAAUUGAUAAAUUAUGGUCUUGUUAAUUAGCCAUGUUAACCAUUCGAUCACUAAUUGGUUAGUCCUUGAGGGACUAGUGCCGCAAUAAGUUAAAACAAGUAUAGACUUAGUAAUAGUCAGUAGUUUAGGUUUGGUGUUUUUGGUUCAUUCGUCUUUUGCUAACUAAUGAAAUGAUUAAGUUAUCAUUUUUUAAGUUAUGGGUCUGAUAAGACUAGUACUAACAUAUACUGAGUUUCCUUUUCUUCUACAUGGUAUGGCUAACAAAGAAGAGUAAAAGAAGAUGACUAGAGGUUACUGCUAUCAUUUGUUUUUAAUACGGAUUUAUGUGAAAAUUCUGUUAAGCUUCAAUCUUGGAAAAAUAAUUGAAAAUCUUCUCUAGUUAGAUUAAUAUACUAUGUAAGUUGGGUUUAGUGCUAGCCCCUAUUUGCCUCAAACUUUCAAGUCAAAUGUGAUAUUAUCAUCUUAUUAUUAGAUUGUCCAUUUAAUUUUGUUAUCUCUGUUUUCACUCACCUUGUCUGAUACAGUGACUAAGAAAUGUGGGAUUGUCGAACGAGGUUAACUAUAGUAACCUUCGGAUAAUUAGUUGUAAGAUCUGUGGAUAGUUGAGAUAUAUAGCUGUCCCGGUUAGUAUAUUUGUGUUUGUACUCAACUUUUUGGAUCAAGUUACGGAGCUUUAGUUAACUAAAACGUGGUUGCAACGAGUUCCCAAGCAUCUUUUUAUUGCAUUUCGUCAUAAUACGCUGAUUGGAUCUUCAUUUGAAAUCUCUGUGAUUCAAAAUUGUGACGAGAGGAGACUGUUUGCGCUGAAAUGUGUUUGUUCUUUUUCCCCUUACCUCAUAUAAUUAAGCUUAUAAGUAUCAAAUGGGUUGGAAUGGGUUUUGUAUAAUCCAGAACUCCACGGGUCCGUGGUCCGUAUGUUUUAGUUGAGAGAAAACUGUACGUCAGAAGCAAUUAUUACUUUGUGCAGAAUGGAGAGGGUUUCUUCUUGUUCCUCAGUCAUUCUUCCACAAUGAGCCAUGGAACUUUGUCGAAUUGGGCGGUGGAGUCCUAGGGUGUAAAGGGUUUCAUUCUAGUUUUAGGACCACUCUGGGGGAUUAUCUCUGAAUAUUGGCUAAGCGAACGCUUAAAAUUUAAGGAUCAAGGUUGGGUCACUGGACUGAAUGAGUUGGCUUGUCGUAAACAAACUUUUGCUAUCAACUGAAAAUGGGAAGAUGCGGAUGCGCAACCUGUAGAAGUCACAGUGUAUGACUAUGAUGUUACAAAGUUUAGUAAUAUCAAGUUACAUGACUCUGCUAAUUACCCAUGCAUCAAAGUGGGUAAACCGAAAAGGCCGACAUACAUCCCAAUUGGGGUAAAAAGAUGAUACCUGUUAUAUGUUGUGUUGUUUUAAUGUUUUGUGCAUAAUGAAAAAAUGCUUAUGGUACAUACUAUAGCUUGUGGUUGUUGUUCUCUGUAGCUCUGUGAGUUGGUAUCUUAACAACGAUACACAAAGGCACUGUCCACUUUCCAAAGAUCUUCACUUGUGGAAAAAUCAAGGCAAAAACCCCGGGAGCGUAUGACUGCUUUGAGAAAUCUGAGCAUCUCCAUAGUUUUAUUCUAUUUUUAAUAGCACACAGCCAAAGCUUCUGGAAUUUCUCCGAUUUUGAAGAGCCAUGAAACUUACCUCUGACACUUUAAUCUCGUUUUUAUCCUGAGAUUAUUUUGCUUGGGUAUGCGCCCAGGCGUUGUACUUGGAAGAGAGUCUUGAAUGUUUCCGUGUGUGAAGUAUGACGUUGAAACUGAUCCUCCGGUAAGUUAUCAAUACAAUAGUCUCUAGUUCAAUACUUCUCUGUUGCCAUUAUACCUUUUCUGUUUUUAAGUUGUAGAAAUUAAAUUAUUGCUAAUAAUGAGAGUUGGAACACCUUAUAACUGCUCAGCAAUAGCCUAAAUUAGUUCGCCUUCUGUUUGAUUUCUCUGGAGGGAUUCUGGUACUGAUUAGUUAAGAAUGGGCUUGUAAAUAAAUAUUUUAGUUUGAGCAAAUGCCGACUGCGUCUCUGUGGACACCAAAAGUAUAUGUAACUUUUGGUUGUUGUCUGCGGAGAACUAGGGAUAUGAAUACAAUCGAUUUGCUUGAGCACUUGCCAGCUUUACAACAGCUCCUUUUCCGAGUUCUUGGUUGCCAGAACUUAUCAUAGCCACAAGUAGCAGCAGUUUACAACUUCGUGAUCCAGUUAGCACUUUCAAUGGUCGCUGGGGAAAGCAUUAAAAUCUAGAAUGCCAUCAGCGAUGGUACAGUUAAUUUGGUUGACAAGGGUAUUAGAGAGGAUUUGCGUACAUGUUUCUGAUUCUCCUUAAUCCGCUGCCAGGGAAUUUUUUUUCUUUUUCUUUGAGGAGGUGUCCUUAACAUGUCAGUUUUUAUUCCUUUGUUUUUCUGUUCAUAUAAGGGAAUCAUACGUUGUUGUUGUUUUUGUUUUUUUAAUCAUCCAAAUACAAGAUUUAGAUGCUAAUAUUGAUAAGACAUGGUCCCCAUAAGACAUCCUUCAAUAGACAACCAAUUUAC
Molecule: long non-coding RNA, 2676 nt
Organism: Papaver somniferum (opium poppy)
Lineage: Eukaryota; Viridiplantae; Streptophyta; Magnoliopsida; Ranunculales; Papaveraceae
Exons: 6
Source: RefSeq, a predicted model, not a curated record